This 389-nucleotide ribosomal RNA is filed under the name uncultured bacterium. Its description in RNAcentral is "bacterial SSU rRNA". It matches the Rfam family "Bacterial small subunit ribosomal RNA", at positions 30 to 400 of the family's 1533-position model. The record is from RNAcentral.
AGUGAACGCUGGCGGCAGGCCUAACACAUGCAAGUCGAGCGGCAGCGGGUCCCCGCGAGGGGAUGCCGGCGAGCGGCGGACGGGUGAGGAACACAUCGGAAUCUGCCUGGUUGUGGGGGAUAACGUAGGGAAACUUACGCUAAUACCGCAUGCGACCCUGAGUCGACGGACUGGGGGUGAAAGUGAGGGACCUUCGGGCCUCACGCGACCAGAUGAGCCGAUGUCGGAUAGCUAGUUGGCGGGGUAACGGCCCGCCCAAGGCGACGAUCCGUAGCUGGUCUGAGAGGAUGAUCAGCCACACUGGGACUGAGACACGGCCCACGACUCCUACGGGAGGCAGCAGUGGGGAAUCUUGGACAAUGGGCGCAAGCCUGAUCCAGCCAUGCCGC